AUACGGAGGAUCCAAGCGUUAUCCGGAUUUAUUGGGUUUAAAGGGUGCGUAGGCGGACUGGUAAGUCAGCUGUGAAAGUUUGCGGCUUAACCGUAAAAUUGCAGUUGAUACUGUCAGUCUUGAGUGUGCAUGAGGUGGGCGGAAUUUGUGGUGUAGCGGUGAAAUGCUUAGAUAUCACGAGGAACUCCAAUUGCGAAGGCAGCUCACUGGGGCAUAACUGACGCUGAUGCACGAAGGUGUGGGUAUCAAACAGGAUUAGAUACCCUGGUAGUCCACACAGUAAACUAUGAAUACUCGCUGUUUGCGAUAUACAGUAAGCGGCCAAGCGAAAGCAUUAAGUAUUCCACCUGGGGAGUACGCCGGCAACGGUGAAACUCAAAGGAAUUGACGG
This 391-nucleotide ribosomal RNA is filed under the name uncultured bacterium. RNAcentral's name for it is "partial 16S ribosomal RNA". It matches the Rfam family "Bacterial small subunit ribosomal RNA", at positions 523 to 916 of the family's 1533-position model. The record is from RNAcentral.